RNAcentral lists this unclassified non-coding RNA (445 nucleotides) under Hevea brasiliensis (rubber tree). The record is from RNAcentral. Lineage: Eukaryota; Viridiplantae; Streptophyta; Magnoliopsida; Malpighiales; Euphorbiaceae.
UUUUAUUUGUGGUUAGGUAUUACAAUUCGUUGGUCACAACAAAGAAAGUCCCCAACACUCCAAAAGAAUGUACAAAAGUAUGACCACCACACGCAGAGCCAUCCUCCAUAGAGAACCAACACCUCUCCACUUAAUAAAAAUAAUACCUCCUCUUAACAGAGAUGCUGUGGGGCAAACUGAAGAGUUCAGCAGAGGUAAAUGGACGGUAAUGGAGCAAGGUACCCAAUGUAGACCUCUGUGCAAUCUUCAGGUAGAGUUUAUGCGAGAAGCAACCCAAUUUUUCUGUUACCCUCCCACUUGUCUCAAUCUUCAAAACUCCAUUUCUGCUCUAAAUCUUCUGAGCAUUUCGAUGAGCAGAUGUGCUUGGUGCAUUUCGUGAACUAAUACUUGCUGUUCUUAGCAGUCUACGGAAUUCCGAAAGGCUUAUUUUACCAUCUUUAUCAAU